RNAcentral lists this unclassified non-coding RNA (264 nucleotides) under fungal sp. RNAcentral's name for it is "partial internal transcribed spacer region". The stretch from base 1 to 46 matches the Rfam family "Eukaryotic small subunit ribosomal RNA", at positions 1786 to 1831 of the family's 1831-position model. The record is from RNAcentral. Lineage: Eukaryota; Fungi.
AAGUCGUAACAAGGUUUCCGUAGGUGAACCUGCGGAAGGAUCAUUACCAAAUCCAAAUACCCAAACCCCAUGUGAAUUAUUGUAUAGUCUGUCUUUGGGAGAAAACGAAGGAGAAAUCUGGAUUUUUCUCCCAAUAGAGUCCGGCAUAACUUUAUGUUUUGUCCAGAUUCGAAACCCUUUUAAACCACUUGAUUUUUCUGUUGGAAUUACUUUUAUUAAUUUUAAAUAAAAGACAACUUUUAACGGUGGAUCUCUUGGCUCGUG